UUUAUUGAGAGUUUGAUCCUGGCUCAGGAUUAACGCUGGCGGCGUGCCUUAAGCAUGCAAGUCAAGGGAGUCCCGAUUUAUCGGGACGACCGGCGGACGGGUGAGUAACGCGUGGGAAUCUACCUUAGAGUGAAGCAUAGCCUCUCGAAAGAGGGGGUAAUUCUUCAUAACAUCGCAAGAUUAAAGUCGCAAGACGCUUUAAGAUGAGCCCGCGUCCUAUCAGCUAGUUGGUGGGGUAAUGGCCUACCAAGGCGACGACGGGUAGCUGGUCUGAGAGGAUGGUCAGCCACAACGGGACUGCGACACGGCCCGUACAUCUACGGAUGGCAGCAACUGGGAAUAUUCGGCAAUGGGCGAAAGCCUGACCGAGCGACGCCGCGUGGAGGAUUGAAGGCCCUCGGGUUGUAAACUCCUUUUGUCUGGGAAGAUUAUGACGGUACCAGAAGAAUAAGCACCUGCAAACUACGUGCCAGAAGCCUCGGUAAUACGUAGGGUGCGAGCGUUAUCCGGAUUUAUUGGGCGUAAAGAGUUGCGUAGGCUGUAUGACGCAUUCUGUUUGAAAUC
Candidatus Daviesbacteria bacterium is the source of this 564-nucleotide non-coding RNA. Lineage: Bacteria; Candidatus Daviesiibacteriota. The record is from Rfam.